GUCGGCGAUCGCAGCCAAAGCAGCUGUAGCUUCUGCGCAGGCUGCUAAGGCAGCAAGUUCCAGCCUUCCUCACCCUCCAGCUAGCAGCCAAUAUAUCGUACCCAAGAAGACAAUAGAGUAUGGACCAUGGGGCUAAUAGCAGAGGGCGCUUCGAUCAGAUGAUGCUUCGAGGUGUGGCACACAAACCCAGUGCGACUGGCGCGCAAAAACCUUCCAGACAACUACUUUCUCAUUAAGUGGUAACAAAUGUUUGUGUAUAGAAUCUGUAACUUUACAAGCACUAUGUAGCAAUUUAAAUUCAGCAAUAAAUGUGUUCAUUGCAUUCACUGAAA
Molecule: non-coding RNA, 332 nt
Organism: Zootermopsis nevadensis
Lineage: Eukaryota; Metazoa; Arthropoda; Insecta; Blattodea; Termopsidae
Source: RefSeq, a predicted model, not a curated record